RNAcentral lists this ribosomal RNA (466 nucleotides) under Bacteroidetes bacterium 5-4. RNAcentral describes it as "bacterial SSU rRNA". It matches the Rfam family "Bacterial small subunit ribosomal RNA", at positions 28 to 491 of the family's 1533-position model. The record is from RNAcentral. Lineage: Bacteria; Pseudomonadati; Bacteroidota.
GAUGAACGCUAGCGGCAGGCCUAAUACAUGCAAGUCGGACGGGAUUGUGGAGCUUGCUUCACAUGAGAGUGGCGCACGGGUGCGUAACACGUAUGUAACCUACCUUGAUCUGGGGGAUAGCCUCUCGAAAGAGAGAUUAACACCGCAUAACAUGUUUGAAUAGCAUUAUUUAAACAUCAAAUAUUUAUAGGAUCAAGAUGGGCAUGCGGAACAUUAGCUAGUUGGUAAGGUAACGGCUUACCAAGGCUACGAUGUUUAGGGGAUCUGAGAGGAUGACCCCCCACACUGGUACUGAGACACGGACCAGACUCCUACGGGAGGCAGCAGUAAGGAAUAUUGGUCAAUGGGCGCAAGCCUGAACCAGCCAUGCCGCGUGCAGGAAGACGGCCCUACGGGUUGUAAACUGCUUUUGUACCGGAAUAAACCUUUGUAUGUAUACGAAGCUGAAUGUACGGUAAGAAUAAGG